ACGCUCGACACCUACGGGAGGCAGCAGUGGGGAAUAUUGCACAAUGGGGGAAACCCUGAUGCAGCGACGCCGCGUGGAGGAAGAAGGUCUUCGGAUUGUAAACUCCUGUUGUUGGGAAAAAGAGGAUGUACCCAACAAGGAAGUGACGGCUAACUACGUGCCAGCAGCCGCGGUAAUCUGAGCGGGCUGGCAAGGC
This 196-nucleotide ribosomal RNA is filed under the name uncultured bacterium. RNAcentral's name for it is "partial 16S ribosomal RNA". It matches the Rfam family "Bacterial small subunit ribosomal RNA", at positions 328 to 539 of the family's 1533-position model. The record is from RNAcentral.